UGAGGAAUAUUGCGCAAUGGACGAAAGUCUGACGCAGCCAUGCCGCGUGAAGGAUGACUGCCCUAUGGGUUGUAAACUUCUUUUAUAUACCAAGAAACCUUGGGACGUGUCCCGAGCUGACGGUAGUAUAUGAAUAAGCACCGGCUAACUCCGUGCCAGCAGCCGCGGUAAUACGGAGGGUGCAAGCGUUAUCCGGAUUUAUUGGGUUUAAAGGGUCCGUAGGUGGACCAUUAAGUCAGAGGUGAAAGCCCGCGGCUCAACCGCGGAAUUGCCUUUGAUACUGGUGGUCUUGAGUGUGCUCGAAGUUGGCGGAAUAUGACAUGUAGCGGUGAAAUGCUUAGAUAUGUCAU
This 350-nucleotide ribosomal RNA is filed under the name uncultured bacterium. Its description in RNAcentral is "bacterial SSU rRNA". It matches the Rfam family "Bacterial small subunit ribosomal RNA", at positions 355 to 702 of the family's 1533-position model. The record is from RNAcentral.